Long non-coding RNA from Stegodyphus dumicola, 575 nucleotides. Lineage: Eukaryota; Metazoa; Arthropoda; Arachnida; Araneae; Eresidae. The record is from RefSeq and is a predicted model, not a curated record.
AAUCUUCGAAUUGGAUCCGGCUUAUUACUUUUUGCAGACUGUUAGAGCAAUUUUAUAAAAGUCCACAUCAAUUUUGCGAUGCUGGAAAUAUUCCAGUACACUUUUACUCAAUUGCAGCUAGAUUACUGCAUACAGGAAUGUUUCAGCUUUUCAUUUUACCAAUGGAUGGCAGCACAGGUGCAUACUUUUGAAGAAAUCAAAGCUGCAAGUGGAUUGUUUUGCAAAAAUGGCGCCGUCGAAAAGUCUUCGAAAACGAUGACUUUGAGAAUGCUCCAGAGCCUUUUUCACCCUUGGCUUCGUGUUUUGAAUACCUGAGCGUGAAAUGUUUUGAAGAAGUAGCUGCCUAAACUAAUUUGUAUUCUGUUCACCAGAAAUAUAAAUCUGUGUGAAAUAUAAUUUUUUUUUUUUUUUUUCUGUGUGUGUGUGUGUUGUAAAAUGUGAACUGUGGAACAGUUUGUCCAGAUGAUUAUCACGUAUCCAUAUAUUCAGUGACAUAUAAAGCCAAAGUUUGCAUUUACACUGUCAGUAUUCUAGAAUAUUUCUGAAAAAGGAAACAUAAAUAUCUUAAAAACAUA